CAACGCCGCGUGAGUGAUGAAGGCUUUCGGGUCGUAAAGCUCUGUCAGAGGGGAAGAAAUGGGUCUGGCUAAUAUCCAGAUUCCUUGACGGUACCCUCAAAGGAAGCACCGGCUAACUCCGUGCCAGCAGCCGCGGUAAUACGGAGGGUGCAAGCGUUGUUCGGAUUUAUUGGGCGUAAAGCGCGUGUAGGCGGUUUCUUAAGUCUGAUGUGAAAGCCCUGGGCUCAACCCAGGAAGUGCAUUGGAUACUGGGAGACUUGAAUACGGGAGAGGGUAGUGGAAUUCCUAGUGUAGGAGUGAAAUCCGUAGAUAUUAGGAGGAACACCGGUGGCGAAGGCGGCCACCUGGACCGAUAUUGACGCUGAGACGCGAAAGCGUGGGGAGCAAACAGGAUUAGAUACCCUGGUAGUCCACGCCGUAAACGAUGAGAACUAGGUGUUGCGGGUAUUGACCCCUGCAGUGCCGCAGCUAACGCAUUAAGUUCUCCGCCUGGGAAGUACGGUCGCAAGACUA
Molecule: ribosomal RNA, 513 nt
Filed under: uncultured Pseudomonadota bacterium
Lineage: Bacteria; Pseudomonadati; Pseudomonadota
Description: bacterial SSU rRNA
Rfam family: Bacterial small subunit ribosomal RNA
Source: RNAcentral